Rhododendron vialii is the source of this 885-nucleotide long non-coding RNA. RefSeq lists it as uncharacterized. The transcript has 4 exons. The record is from RefSeq and is a predicted model, not a curated record. NCBI's taxonomy places the organism in Eukaryota, Viridiplantae, Streptophyta, Magnoliopsida, Ericales, Ericaceae.
CAUAAAUGAUACCAAAAUUACAUCAUGAGCACUCAUUUACUCAUUAUCUCACCCAACAAAUGAAAGAAAAUUGGCCAUUGCAAUUGAUAAUUACAGUAACGUUUACCUUUUUGUUUCUGUGCAAAAUUUAGAAUUGAAGAAGGACAAUCUCAAUUUGCUUGCUGCAACAGGAAAUGGAAGUCAGAUUUUUGACGUAGGAGGGGUGGUGGAUCGACAUCGGAUAUGCUGAUAUCAAGGAAGGAUCGGGACAUCUCUUCAAUUGAGAAAGGAAUUGUUUGAGUAGAUUUAUCAAGUUACCGGGCAGAGUUCAUUCGUGAUCUCAUCUGGUGAUUUUUGAGAUUUUUGAUGCAAAACCUGCAUGGUUUAAGAAUUUGCUUGUUAAUUCUCAAAAUUUAAUCAAGUUUAUCAGCACCUUAUUGAAUUGGGUUCAGAAGAUCUUACCAGAAAUCCUACGGCUUGCCUUAUGUGUUGGAGUUCAUCCCACGACGAUCCAGAAAACUGUAUACAAGAUAAUUGAGUUCGUGCAAACCAGCCUUUACAUAUUCUCCGUUGCUGAAUGAGCAGCACUCACGACGAAGCAGUAAACUGUGAAACAUAGGACGUUGGGUUUUGGAUGCUACACACAUUUUCUAAGGGAAUAUAUUUGGUUCUGGUAUCUGAUUAAGAUUGCAUGGUGGCUGUUGAGAGGUCUAAGGAGCUGCAUACCUGUUAAAAAGCUGGACGUUUAUGAAGGAAAAUACCUGACCAAACAUUUUCCUUGCGAUUAUGCUGGGGACCUGAAGAUACAGCGGCUGGGUUACUAAAUAUUACCUCCAAGUCCUCGUUCUGAAUUGUUAGUUCCUCCACCAUCCUGUUGUCCACAACUGGUACCUCUUUGAUGACUGG